CAUUUUAAAAAGGAGGAAUAUUUGAUCAUGGUAUAAGGUUAGCGCUAAUAUUUUGUGUGCAUGGUAGUUUUUGCGGUUUGCUGAAAAUUAAACUUUAUUAUUUAAUAUAGCAAUGUGCGGUAUUACAGCAACCCAGCCGUAAAACAUUGAACAAUUCUUGAAAAAGAGAUUAAGAAAAUAUUGAUUAAGAAGUAGAAGGAAAUGGGGUGCCAGCACCUGCGGUUAAACCUCUUUUGCAAGUUAAUUGACGUCGUAAAGUAGAUUUUAUUUAUUAAUAAAUUCAAAUGACUUAUACUUAGGUAAAAUUUUAUAGGUCGUCGUUAAGUGGAAGUUUAUAGCAGAAGUUCUCUACGAAGCUUAGGUUUAAUGACCGGGAUCAGAGACCCCCAUUAAUUAAAGUGUGAAGAUAUUUUACGGGAACUACGGACAGUUGUCUAAAACCUAAAUGAAUUGGCGGUUCUAUAAACUCAGUUAGGGGAACCUGUAGCUUAAUCCGAUGGUCCACGUAAUACCUUACCUUAUUUUAGUUUUUACAUCGCCGUUGAGUUUUUCCUUAAAGGAAUGGAAAAUGGGCGUAAUUAUUAAGUCGUUAAUUAGCGAUUUGGUUUUAAUUCAGGUCGACAUGGAGCUGUAGUAAGGGGUUAUAUGGGUUACAAUUUUUUAGAAAAGUGGAUUUGAAGAGUUUGAAAUAGGCUUAUUGAAAUAGGACUUAAUAGUAAAUUUGUGUUAGAAUAGCAGAUUGAAUUGUGUUGAUAGUGCGUACAAAUUGCCCGGCGCUCCCACUUGCAGAGGGGAUAAGCCGUAACAUAGUAAGGCUACUAGAAAGUGGUCUUGAG
Molecule: non-coding RNA, 836 nt
Filed under: Lucinella divaricata
Lineage: Eukaryota; Metazoa; Mollusca; Bivalvia; Lucinida; Lucinidae
Source: RNAcentral